CCCUUAGACGUUCUGGGCCGCACGCGCGCUACACUGACCAGUGCAACAAGCAUCCGUCCUUGGCCGACAGGCCCGGGCAAUCUUUGAACGCUGGUCGUGAUGGGGAUAGACUUUUGCAAUUUUUGGUCUUCAACGAGGAAUUCCUAGUAAACGCAAAUCAUCAAUUUGCAUUGAUUACGUCCCUGCCCUUUGUGCACACCGCCCGUCGCACCUACCGAUUGAAUGGUCCGGUGAAGCCUCGGGAUUGUGGCCAGUUCACUUUAUUGGGAGUUGGCUGUGAGAACUUGUCUAAACCUUAUCAUUUAGAGGAAGGUGAAGUCGUAACA
RNAcentral lists this ribosomal RNA (326 nucleotides) under uncultured eukaryote. RNAcentral's name for it is "partial 18S ribosomal RNA". It matches the Rfam family "Eukaryotic small subunit ribosomal RNA", at positions 1470 to 1796 of the family's 1831-position model. The record is from RNAcentral.